Homo sapiens (human) is the source of this 522-nucleotide long non-coding RNA. The record is from Ensembl. Lineage: Eukaryota; Metazoa; Chordata; Mammalia; Primates; Hominidae.
CGCAGCCAGAUCAUGCCGAUGAUGGCCAGGGCCACGCAGAGCCAGUUGAAGAAGCUGAAGAAGUUGAUGACGGAGAAGAUGUCCUUGGAGAAGGCGUAGAGCAGCGUCAUCACACACUGGAAGAGAGAGGCGGCUGGCUGAGCCCUGGGGCCCACGAGCAGGGCUGUGGACGGCCGUGGUGGCCACCGGGGACUGUCCAGCCUGGCUGGGCCCAGCUGAGCACCAGGGAAUUUUGUUUUAAAGGAGAAACCUCAUCUGAGCAACAUGCAAGAACACUACAUUUUGGAGUGAUGUGUGACACAGCCAGAGGGAACAAAGGCAGUCACGCGGGCUGGCACGGAAAGAUGCAGGAGAAGCGGAAGGAAACUGUGUGUGAUGCACCCCGCUGAGAAACGAACAGAGUGGGCGCCCACGGAGGUGCAGUGAGCCAGGCGGCUGGCAGAGCAGCACCCCGGGUCAGCUUCUGCCUCCCGCAUUUCCGAUGGUCUGAAUCGUUUGUGGCAGCCACCAUAUAUUAUUUUU